CGUAGGUGGCGAGCGUUAUCCGGAAUUACUGGGCGUAAAGCGCACGCAGGCGGUCUUUUAAGUUUGACGUGAAAGCUCCCGGCUUAACUGGGAGAGGUCGUUGAAUACUGGGAGACUUGAGGCAAUGAGAGGGGUGUAGAAUUCCCGGUGUAGUGGUGGAAUGCGUAGAUAUCGGGAGGAAUACCAGUGGCGAAAAGCGGCACCCUAGCGUUGUACUGACGCUCAUGUGCGAAAAGCGUGGGGAGCAAACGGGAUU
Molecule: ribosomal RNA, 256 nt
Filed under: uncultured bacterium
Lineage: Bacteria
Description: partial 16S ribosomal RNA
Rfam family: Bacterial small subunit ribosomal RNA
Source: RNAcentral